This 3034-nucleotide ribosomal RNA is filed under the name Desulfobacterales bacterium HSG16. Its description in RNAcentral is "23S ribosomal RNA". It matches the Rfam family "Bacterial large subunit ribosomal RNA". Lineage: Bacteria; Pseudomonadati; Thermodesulfobacteriota; Desulfobacteria; Desulfobacterales. The record is from RNAcentral.
GGCCAAGCUGUUAAGGGCAGACGGUGGAUGCCUUGGUGUCAGGAGGCGAAGAAAGACGUGGCAAGCUGCGAUAAGCUUCGGGGAGCCGCUAAACAGGCUUUGAUCCGGAGAUUUCUGAAUGGGGAAACCCGUCAUGGUUAAUACUGUGACAUCUGUAACUGAAUACAUAGGUUGCAGAAGCGAACGAGGUGAACUGAAACAUCUUAGUAACCUCAGGAAGAGAAAACAAUAGUGAUUUCCGUAGUAGCGGCGAGCGAACCGGAACCAGCCCAAACUCGGUAUAUGUCAAGCCUGGAAGCGUUGUAUAUCGGGGGUCGUGGGGUUUGACCGGACAUGUUUCCAGACAUGUCGGAAAGUAAAAAAAUCGUUUUAUAAUCGAAACGUCUGGGAAGGCGUACUAUAGAAGGUGAAAGUCCUGUAGAUGAAAUGAAACGAACUUUUCGGGUCGAAAACCCAAGUACCGCGGGACACGAGAAACCCUGCGGGAAUUCGUGAGGACCAUCUCACAAGGCUGAAUACUACCUGACGACCGAUAGUGAACCAGUACCGUGAGGGAAAGGUGAAAAGUACCCCGGUGAGGGGAGUGAAAUAGUACCUGAAACCGUCUGCCUACAAGCAGUGGGAGCACUAUGUAAGUUUUUCGGAAUUUACAGUGUGACCGCGUGCCUUUUGCAUAAUGAGUCAGCGAGUUGUUUUACGUAGCAAGGUUAAGCCGUCAGGUGUAGCCGUAGCGAAAGCGAGUCUUAACAGGGCGAUGUAGUUGCGUGAAGCAGACCCGAAACCAGGUGAUCUAUCCAUGGCCAGGGUGAAGCGCCAGUAAAAUGGCGUGGAGGCCCGAACCGUUGUAUGUUGAAAAAUGCUCGGAUGAGCUGUGGAUAGGGGUGAAAGGCCAAACAAACCUGGAAAUAGCUGGUUCUCCCCGAAAUAUAUUUAGGUAUAGCCUUGCAAAGUAAGUAACGGGGGUAGAGCACUGGAUGGGCUAGGGGUCCUACCAGAUUACCAAACCUAACCAAACUCCGAAUACCGUUAACUGUAAUUGCAGGAGUCAGACUAUGGGAGCUAAGUUCCAUGGUCGAAAGGGAAACAGCCCGGACCGCCGGCUAAGGUCCCGAAAUAUGUGCUAAGUGGGAAAGGAUGUGGAAAUGCACAGACAACCAGGAGGUUGGCUUAGAAGCAGCCACCCUUUAAAGAAAGCGUAACAGCUCACUGGUCGAGUGAGUCUGCGCCGAAGAUGUAACGGGGCUAAAGCACAUUACCGAAGCCGCGGAUAUUAAAAAGAUUUAUCUUUUGAUAUGGUAGGGGAGCAUUGCGUACGGGUUGAAGUUCGACCGUAAGGACGGAUGGACUGUACGGAAGAGACCAUGCUGACAUGAGUAACGAUAAAGCGGGUGAAAAACCCGCUCGCCGAAAACCUGAGGAUUCCUGAGUAAAGCUAAUCUUCUCAGGGUUAGUCGAUCCCUAAGCCGAGGCCGAAAGGCGUAGGCGAUGGAAAACAGGUUAAUAUUCCUGUACCACCGGAUUAUCAAUGCCCUUCGGGGUGAGAGAGAUUGGGGGGACGCAGAAGGGCAGACCAUCCACCUGCUGGAAUAGGUGGUUCAAGCUGGUAGGCUGAGAGGACAGGUAAAUCCGUUCUUUCGUUAAGGCCGAGAAGUGAUGAGAAGAGACUUAGUCUCAUAAACUGGUUGAUCCCAUACUGCCAAGAAAAGCCUCUAUCGAGAUAAUCAGGUGAUCGUACCGCAAACCGACACAGGUAGGUAGGGAGAGAAUCCCAAGGCGCUUGAGAAAACCCUGGUUAAGGAACUCGGCAAAAUCACACCGUAACUUAGGGAGAAGGUGUGCCUCUAUGAAGUGAAGUGCUUCGCGCACUGAGUGGAAAGAGGCCGCAGAGAAAUGGCGGUAGCGACUGUUUACUAAAAACAUAGGACUCUGCAAAGUCGCAAGACGAAGUAUAGGGUCUGACGCCUGCCCGGUGCCGGAAGGUUAAGGGGAGAUGUUAGGGUAACCGAAGCAUUGAACCGAAGCCCCGGUAAACGGCGGCCGUAACUAUAACGGUCCUAAGGUAGCGAAAUUCCUUGUCGGGUAAGUUCCGACCUGCACGAAUGGCGUAACGACUUCCGCACUGUCUCAACCAGGGACUCAGUGAAAUUGUAUUGGCGGUGAAGAUGCCGUCUACCCGCGAAAAGACGGAAAGACCCCGGCACCUUUACUACAGCUUGACAUUGGAUUUUGAAAUAUCAUGUGUAGGAUAGGUGGGAGGCUUGGAAACCGGAACGCCAGUUUCGGUGGAGCCACCCUUGAAAUACCACCCUUGUUAUUUUAGAAUUCUAAUUUUGUCCCGUAAUCCGGGCGAAAGACAGUGUCUGGUGGGUAGUUUGACUGGGGCGGUCGCCUCCUAAAGAGUAACGGAGGCGCGCGAAGGUUCCCUCAGGCUGAUUGGAAACCAGCCGUGGAGUGUAAAGGCAUAAGGGAGCUUGACUGCGAGAGAGACAUUUCGAGCAGGUACGAAAGUAGGUCUUAGUGAUCCGGCGGUCCCGAAUGGAAGGGCCGUCGCUCAACGGAUAAAAGGUACGCCGGGGAUAACAGGCUUAUCGCCCCCAAGAGUUCACAUCGACGGGGCGGUUUGGCACCUCGAUGUCGGCUCAUCACAUCCUGGGGCUGGAGCAGGUCCCAAGGGUUCGGCUGUUCGCCGAUUAAAGUGGUACGUGAGCUGGGUUUAAAACGUCGUGAGACAGUUUGGUCCCUAUCUUUCGUGGGCGUAGGAUAUUUGAGAGGAUCUGUUCCUAGUACGAGAGGACCGGAAUGGACAAACCAAUGGUGUUCCAGUUGUUCCGCCAGGGGCAUUGCUGGGUAGCUAAGUAUGGAAAGGAUAACCGCUGAAAGCAUCUAAGCGGGAAGCCCCCCUCGAGAUUAGAUAUCCCUUUCUUUUUAAUAAGAACUGAAGACCCCUCGAAGACUACGAGGUUGAUAGGCCGGGUGUGGAAGUACAGUAAUGUAUGGAGCUAACCGGUACUAAUCGGUCGUGAGGCUUGGCCAC